Molecule: long non-coding RNA, 701 nt
Organism: Sapajus apella (tufted capuchin)
Lineage: Eukaryota; Metazoa; Chordata; Mammalia; Primates; Cebidae
Exons: 4
Source: RefSeq, a predicted model, not a curated record
AGGACCCUGGGUUAUUUCCUGCAGUUUAUCAUAACUAACUACCUUUUGGGUUGCAUUUUUCAUGCCCGCUAGGAGGCACUGCAGCAUCUGGUCUCAGCGGUGGCGGCCAUUUUGGCCAGUUUGAUAGUCCCAGUUAGGAUCAGUCUCAGGGACUGCCACUGCACCCACUGGCAUCUGAGGAUCAGUGAGAUGUACCUGAUCAGUGUGUGCCCUGGCUGCCACAAGGAUGCAGUUACGCUCAUCAGAAGUGAGGGUAGAGGACAGGAUUACAUAAGUGUCAUGCCAGGUAAGGUCAUAUGCCUGAGUGAGAUAACGAAAUUCCUUGAUGUAAGCAGUAGGAUUGGCGGAGAAUGACCCUAAGCGUUUUUCGAUGGUGGACAGAUCAGUAAGGGAGAAAGGAACGUGCACUCAGACCACACCCUCUGCUCCGGCCACCUCGCAGAGAGGACAAAGGAGGGAGUUUUCAUCGCUGGGAGUGCUGCAUGAGCGAGUGUGAGCACUAAUAGGAGAGGCCAUGUCAGAACUUGGAGGAGGAGGAGCAGGAGGGGGUUGGGGACAACUUGGAACAGGAGGAGUAGACAAGGGAGCAACAAACAAACACCUAUUAUUAUUAUAACACUUAUGAUGAGGGUUUUGAAUCCUCCCAAGGAUGAGAACCAACCUCCAAAUAAGGACUCAGGGUUAAAUCCGUGCCACACCUG